CCUACGGGUGGCAGCAGUAGGGAAUAUUGCACAAUGGGGGAAACCCUGAAGCAGCAACGCCGCGUGAGUGAUGAAGGUUUUCGGAAUGUAAAGUUCUUUUAAUAGGGAAGAUAAUGACGGUAUCUGACGAAAAAGCACCGGCUAACUCCGUGCCAGCAGCCGCGGUAAUACGUAGGGAGCAAGCGUUACUCGGAAUCACUGGGGGUAAAGGGCGCGUAGGCGGGAUCGCAAGUCAGAUGUGAAAUCCUAUGGCUUAACCAUAGAACUGCAUUUGAAACUGUGAAUCUAGAGUGUGGGAGAGGUAUGUGGAAUUCUUGGUGUAGCGGUAGAAUGCGUAGAUAUAAGGAGGAAUACCAGUGGCGAAGGCGACAUACUAGAAUAUAACUGACGCUGAUGCGCGAAAGCGUGGGGAGCAAACAGGAUUAGAUACCCGAGUAGUC
RNAcentral lists this ribosomal RNA (440 nucleotides) under uncultured bacterium. RNAcentral's name for it is "partial 16S ribosomal RNA". It matches the Rfam family "Bacterial small subunit ribosomal RNA", at positions 338 to 795 of the family's 1533-position model. The record is from RNAcentral.